GAUGAACGCUGGCGGCAUGCCUAAUACAUGCAAGUCGAACGGGGUGCUUGCACCCAGUGGCGAACGGGUGAGUAACACGUAUCUAAUCUACCCAUUAGCGGGGGAUAACAGUUGGAAACGACUGCUAAUACCGCAUACGACAUUUUCUGGCAUCAGAGAAUGUUAAAAAGUCCGUUUGGAUCACUAAUGGAUGAGGAUGCGGCGUAUUAGUUAGUUGGUGGGGUAAUAGCCUACCAAGACAAUGAUACGUAGCCGAACUGAGAGGUUGAUCGGCCACAUCGGGACUGAGACACGGCCCGAACUCCUACGGGAGGCAGCAGUAGGGAAUUUUUCACAAUGGGCGAAAGCCUGAUGGAGCAAUGCCGCGUGACUGAAGACGGUCUUCGGAUUGUAAAGGUCUGUUGUAAGGGAAGAACAGUAAGUAUAGGAAAUGAUACUUAUUUGACGGUACCUUAUCAGAAAGCCACGGCUAACUAUGUGCCAGCAGCCGCGGUAAUACAUAGGUGGCAAGCGUUAUCCGGAUUUAUUGGGCGUAAAGCGUGCGCAGACGGUUUAACAAGUUUAGGGUCAAAUCCUGGAGCUCAACUCCAGUUCGCCUUGAAAACUGUUAAGCUAGAGUGUAAGAGAGGUCGAUGGAAUUCCAUGUGUAGCGGUGAAAUGCGUAGAUAUAUGGAGGAACACCAGUGGCGAAGGCGGUCGACUGGGCCUAUCACUGACGUUUAGGCACGAAAGCGUAGGGAGCAAAUAGGAUUAGAUACCCUAGUAGUCUACGCCGUAAACGAUGAGUACUAAGUGUCGGACUAAGUUCGGUGCUGCAGCUAACGCAUUAAGUACUCCGCCUGAGUAGUAUGCUCGCAAGAGUGAAACUCAAAGGAAUUGACGGGGACCCGCACAAGCGGUGGAGCAUGUGGUUUAAUUCGAAGCAACGCGAAGAACCUUACCAAGGCUUGACAUCCAGUGCAAAGCUGUAGAAAUACAGUGGAGGUUAACAUUGAGACAGGUGGUGCAUGGUUGUCGUCAGCUCGUGCCGUGAGGUGUUUGGUUAAGUCCAGUAACGAGCGCAACCCUUGCCGUUAGUUACUCUAUUAAGUUGAGAUACUCUAACGGGACUGCUAGUGUAAGCUAGAGGAAGGUGGGGAUGACGUCAAAUCAGCAUGCCCCUUAUGUCUUGGGCUACACACGUGCUACAAUGGUUGGUACAAACAGUUGCGAUCUCGUAAGAGGGAGCUAAUCUGAAAAAGCCGAUCUCAGUUCGGAUUGAGGGCUGCAACUCGCCCUCAUGAAGCCGGAAUCGCUAGUAAUCGCGAAUCAGCAAUGUCGCGGUGAAUACGUUCUCGGGUCUUGUACACACCGCCCGUCACACCAUGAGAGUUGAUAAUACCAGAAGUCGGUAUUCUAACCGCAAGGAAGAAGCCGCCCAAGGUAGGAUUGAUGAUUAGGGUG
RNAcentral lists this ribosomal RNA (1443 nucleotides) under Spiroplasma sp. Its description in RNAcentral is "bacterial SSU rRNA". It matches the Rfam family "Bacterial small subunit ribosomal RNA". The record is from RNAcentral. Lineage: Bacteria; Bacillati; Mycoplasmatota; Mollicutes; Entomoplasmatales; Spiroplasmataceae.